CUUGACCUCAUCGACACUCCGUCAUGUUUAUGCCACCGUCACGUCAUCCCGUUGAUUUAUGGGGAAAUCGGAAGGGAUUUCUGUUGAUUCGACUCGUAGAGGAACUGAGCGGUCGUCGGCGGAAGCCGCCGAUGAGUUUCGUGAGGUUAUCCUAAUUAACGUCCUAUUUUUGUUCUAAUUAUUCAUCCCAUAUUCAAAUUUAUUAUAUAUAAAUAAUCGAUCGUAAUAUAUAUAUAUAGAGAGAGAAUUUUUUUUAAAUAUUUUUAAUUAAAUUUAUGAUAUAAAUAAUCGAUCGUAAUAUAUAUAUAUAUAUAUAUAUAUAUAUAUAUAUAUAUUAUAAUAUAAUAUAAGUGUGUGAUAUUUUCCUUAAAGGAUGAAUAAAGAAUUUGUUUUGGGUACUUGCUUUCCUUUAUAAUUUUCUUCUUCCUCGGCAAGGAGAAGAGUGAAGCGACCGCCACUCGGGGAACUGAAUAGAAAGCUCCGCUGAUCUCCGUCUACAUACCAAUAGAAAGCUCGCAACGUCGUCAAGCCUCCCUUUGAUGGACUCCUCCUCCAAGCGGAAGAGACGCAGCGGCGACGACGAACCCCGCCCCUCGAAACCGCGCGCAGCAUCCGGGGACGAUCCUCAGGCGACCGACGACGAGGUCGAGGAGUUCUUCGCCAUCCUACGCAGGAUGCGCGACGCCUCGCGCUCCAUCGCUACCGCCGGCGGAGGAGCUCGAAGCGACGCCAGGCCGCAGCCGCCUCCGCCUCUCCCUCCCCCUCCCGCUGGGCCCAGGUGGAGCCCCGAGUUCGCGUUGGAGGACUUCCAGGGCGACGGUUGUGCCAGGGACGGUGGCGCCGCGGAUAAGGUUGCGGAGGAGAGCGCGGCGAAGCCGUCGCGUUGCCUCGAUCUGAACGCGGACCCGGAGCCGGAGGGCUUGGCUGUGGCGAGCCCCCGCGGUGAGGCUACCGCCCGCUGCGCCCGUGCGCCCGCUUAGUCUUUCAAGCUCGAACUUCUUAGCGCAUAAAGGUUCACUUAUUCUUGUGGCAUCACCGCGGAAUGAGAUAGGCGAGAAGCUUGGCUGAGACCAUCACUACGUAGAUAAAAGAGAAGGGGGGAAUAAGCAAAAACCCCUGUGUCGCAAUAGGAUGCCUUUUCCGAGGAACCGAAAUGCUAUGCCUUUUUUAUGUACAGGAAACUGACUUAAUGAACCAAAAACCCAUGGUCAUCUCAGAAGGUGAUCUACGGCGGAAGACUGAAAAAAGCAAUGAUUGAAGGCCUAUCCAGCAGAAAUAAAAUCCGAUAAAUCAGUUGUUUAAUCCAACUUAGCUUCCGGUUUUCUAUAAUUAAACAAAUCUAGAGUUUCUCAUUGGUUGACAAUAGAAGUAAUCAAUAGUUUGGUGGUGUUGGCAAGUUCUCCA
Musa acuminata AAA Group (dessert banana) is the source of this 1404-nucleotide RNA transcript. RefSeq lists it as uncharacterized. The transcript is spliced from 2 exons. The record is from RefSeq and is a predicted model, not a curated record. NCBI's taxonomy places the organism in Eukaryota, Viridiplantae, Streptophyta, Magnoliopsida, Zingiberales, Musaceae.